CCCUUAGAUGUUCUGGGCUGCACGCGUGCUACAAUGGCGUUUCCAGCAAGUCUGCGAACCCGAGAGGGCCAGCGGAUCUUCGAAUUGGCGUCGUGAUCGGGACAGUCGAUUGCAAUUAUUUGACUCAAACGAGGAAUUCCUUGUAAUCGCGAUUCAUCAUAUCGCGCUGAAUACGUCCCUGCCCUUUGUACACACCGCCCGUCGCUCCUACCGAUUGAGCGAUCCGGUAAAUGUUUUGGAUUGGUGCCGGGGCGGCUAGCUGCCGGUCGCUACGAAAUUUUGUGAACCUUAUCGCUUAGAGGAAGGAAAAGUCGUAACA
This 319-nucleotide ribosomal RNA is filed under the name uncultured eukaryote. RNAcentral's name for it is "partial 18S ribosomal RNA". It matches the Rfam family "Eukaryotic small subunit ribosomal RNA", at positions 1470 to 1796 of the family's 1831-position model. The record is from RNAcentral.